This 4186-nucleotide long non-coding RNA is filed under the name Homo sapiens (human). Its description in RNAcentral is "non-protein coding lnc-PCNX2-9:3". Lineage: Eukaryota; Metazoa; Chordata; Mammalia; Primates; Hominidae. The record is from RNAcentral.
CCUGAGAACAGUGCCAGCAGCUGGCUUCGUGACAUUCUGGAAGCCCCGUGCAAUGCUGUCAGGAGCAUAGGGAUUUUACUUUAUCUCCCUUGCUUAUGCUCCACAUAACUGAAAUAUCUCACUGGAAGCUGCAGCAGUGCUGGCCCCUUGCACAGCCAUAUGUGACCACUGCAGAACAAUCAGUUGGAGAGACAGUUUGGACUACAUGGAGGGUGGAGAUAAGGACAAAGUGAAGAAUACACAGGAACCAGUGCCUCCUCCUGGAACUAUGCAACUCCAAGCUGCUUCCAUCAGCUGCUAGGUCCAGUAGGGAGGGACCUACUGAGAGGUGAUUGGAUUAUGGGGGCGGUUUCCCCCAUGCUGUUCUCAUGAUCGUGAGUGAGUUCUCAUUUGAUCUGAUGGUUUCACGAAAGGCUCUUUCUCCUUUGCUUUCUCUUCUCUCUCCUGCUGCUAUGUGAAGAAGGUGCCUGCUUCCCUUUCCGCUGUGAUUGUAAGUUUCCUGAGGCCUCCUCAGCCAUGUGGAACUCAUUGCCAGAAAACUCAUUUCUCAGUGACACCAUUGUAAUUACUCAUUUGAUUAUCCCGCAAUACACAUAUAAGAGUCUCAGGAAAACAGUACCAUCAGCAUUAUAUGAGCUAAUUAAAAAUGUGGUGUCCUGGACUCACGAAGCCAGAAUUGCUGAGGAGAUAGCCCGAGAAUCUGAAUUUUUAGCAGACAUUUUUUUAGGUACCUUACCCGCAGGAUCAUUUCUGUGAAUAUCCAUGAGGUGAAAAAGUCUGGGAAACACUGUCCUAGACAGGAAACGCCACGAAGUGUCUGGAUCAAAGAACAGACUAUUGCUCACAGAGCACCUUCAUAGCAUUGUUCCUCAUGCCCCCGUUGCCCAAGGGGAUGGCAGGUUGAGGACCAGAUGUACUUGCAUGUUCAGGGGAUGCAGCACAGAAGAGGAACUCCAAAAUUAUUAUUAUUAUUGUUAUUAUUAUUAUUUUUGAGAUGGAGUCUCGCUCUGUCGCCCAGCCUGGAGUGCAGUGGCGUGAUCUCGGCUCACUGCAAGCUCCGCCUCCCGGGUUCACGCCAUUCUCCUGCCUCAGCCUCCCGAGUAGCUGGGACUACAGGCACGCACCGCCACGCCCUGUUAAUUUUUUUUGUAUUUUUUUUUAGUAGAGACAGGGUUUCACCGUGUUAGCCAGGAUGGUCUUGAUCUCCUGACCUCGUGAUCCACCCGCCUCGGCCUCCCAAAGUGCUGGGAUUACAGGCGUGAGCCACCGCGCCCGGCCGAACUCCAAAAUUAUUAAACUCUGAGCGUCUGCAGGUGACUGACACAUCUGCGCUUCCUUUCUUCCAGGGUGUGGGGAAGAGCGAGAAAAAGAUUUCCGCUCUGGAAGGUAAACAAAUACUCUCUGGAGAGAGAAGAGGAAUGUCCCUAGCAGAUGUCUCCAGAGAAGACAAGACUUUAAAUUCCGCCAGGGAAAUAUACAAUGUCUAACUUCUAAGGCACAUUUGCCAUUCAAUCAUGCUUUAACCCACGUUGCCAGAAAUUUUUGCUCACUAGGUUUUGACUGUACAGGAAUGUGAAAAUAUUCAUGAAGAGUUGUUUUCCAAUGCUAAAGAAUUGAUGUGUUUUAACAGUUGAAUUAAUUGUAUUGAUUAUGAUCACACCUACUUUUUAUAUAUCUUCAUUUCUAACGUUUCUGUACAAUCCUGCCUUUCCACCUGAUAUAGUUAGGCCUUGUGUCAUCAACCAAAUCUCAUCUUGAAUUGUAAUCGCCAUAAUCCCCACGUAUUUAGGGAGAGACCUGGAGGGAGGUGUUUGGAUCAUGGGGGCGGUUUCCCGCAUGCUGUUCUCAUGACCAUGAGAGUAAGUUCUCAAGAGAUCUGAUGGUUUUAUAAGCGUCUGUCAUUUCCACUGCUUGCACUUCUGUGUCCUGCCACCUUGUGAAGAAGGACGUGGUUGCUUCCCCUUCCACCAUGAUUGUGUUUCCUGAGGCCUCCCCAGCCUUGCAGAGCUGUGAGUCAAUUAAACCUCUUUCCUUUAUAAAUUACUCAGUCUCUGUAUUCCUCUGCAGCAGUGUGAGAACAGACUAAUACAUCACCACUUUAUUUACUUUACUCUCUCCCCAUACCGAGGUUUUCUACAUUUUCUUUCUAGGUCUCUACAGUUUCUGCAAAGAUCCUUUAUGGAACUCUUAGGGAAGCUGGGAUGUAUAAUAAAUAAAGGGCUCUUUUCUUUGAGUCCCACACCCAUUUUCUGUGUAUAAAAAUCUUCAACUCCACUUUUGUCUGUUCUAUUUAAAUGUGUGCACAUUUCCUUCUAAUGUUGUAUAUGAAAAAGAGACACCUCUUAGCAGUCUUUCAUAGAGCAAAAUUUUUUACUUUGAUAAAAUCUAAUUUAUCAAUAUUUUUAAAUUUUAUGGAUCAAUCAUGCUUUUGAGGUUGAAUUUAAGAAUGCUUUGCCUAGCCCUAGAUCCCAAGUAUCUUUUAAAAAUUAUUUUUCUAAAUGCAUUAUUUAUGUUUUACACUUAAGUCUAUAAUCCAUUUUGAGUCCAUGUGUAAGAUUUAGGUUAAGGUCAAGAUUUAUCUGUUUUUGUUGUUUUCUCUAUAAAUGUCAAUUGCUCCAGCACUAUUUGUUUAAAAGCCAAUCUUUCCUCCGCUGAGUUCUUCCUAUAAGUUUGUCAAAAGUCAAUUUGGCAUCUUUGUAUAAGUUUAUUUCUGGAUUCUCUAUUCUGUUUUAUUGAUCACUGCAUCUAUCCCUCUUGAUUAGCUAGAUAAUAAAUCCUACAAUAAGGUAGAAUUCUUCCCACUUUAUUCAUAUUCAAAAUAUUUUAAAGCUAUUCUAGUUUCUUUUUAUUUCCAUAUAUAUUUUAGGAUAAUCUUAUCUAUAUUUACAACAUAUGUUGCUAGGAUUUUGAUAGAAUUUGUUUUAAAUUUGUGUAUCAAUGUAGGGAAGACCUGACAUCUUUACUAUUACGUUGAUCUUCCAAUCAAUGAAUAUGGUAUAUCUCUCAGUUUAUAGCUAUUGUCUUUAAUUUAUUUCAUCAUGGUUUUUAGUUUUCAGCAGAGAAGCUUUAUACAUGUUUUGUUAUACAUGUAUAACAAAAGAAGCCUUAUACACUGACAUUUUAUAUUUUGAACAAUUGUAAAUGGUAUUGUUUAAAAAUUUUGUUGUCUAUGAUAGAAAUAAAAUUGAUUUUUGUAGGUUUAUCUUGUAACCUAUGACUUGCUGAGCUCGCUCAUUAGUUUUUUUAUUGUGAUAAAAUAUACAUGAGAUAAAUUUCAUCAUUAUAAUCAUUAAGUUUAGACAUCAAUUGCAUUAAGUACAUAAAUGCCUUAUGCAACCAUCAUCUCUAUCCAUCUCCAGACCCUUUGCAUCACCCUAAAAUGAAACUCUGUGCCCAUUAAACAAUAACUCCCCAUUCUGCCCUCACCCCAGCCCUUGGUAAUUACCAUCCUACCUUUUAUCUCUAUAAAUUUAACCAUCCCAGGUAACUCAUAUAAGUGGAAUCAUGCAGUGUUUGUCCUUUUGUAACUGGUUUAUUUCACUUAGCAUGAUGUCUUCAAGGUUUGCCUAUGUCAUAGCAUGUGUCAGAAUUUCAUCCCUUUUUAAACUUAAAUAAUAUUCCACUGUAGGCAUAUGCCACAUUUUGUUUAUUUGUUCAUCUGUUGAUGGGCAUUUGGGUUGUUUCCACCUUUUGGCUACUGUGAAUAAUGCUGCUGUGAUCAUGGGUAUGCAACUGUCUCCUGGAGUCCCUGCUAUCAAUUCUUGUGGGUAUAUACCCAGAAGUGGAAUUGUUGCAACAUAUAGUAAUUCUAUGUUUAAUUUUUUGAGGACCUGCCAUAAUGUUUUCCACAGUAGCUACAUUGUCUUAUAUUCCCAUUAAGAGUUCCAAUUUCCUCACAUCUUCACCAAUACUUAUUGUUUUCUGUUUUUUUAAAUAAUAGCCAUCAUAAUAAAAGUAACAUGGUAUCUCAUUGUGGUUUUAACUGCAUUUCCCUUUUUACUGGAUUGUUUGUAAUAUUGCUGUAAUUGAGUUGUAGGAGUUUUUAAAUAUGUUCUGAAUAAUUAAUUUCUUAUCAGAUAUGUCAUUUGCAAAUAUUUUCUGCCAUUCUCUGGGUUGUCAUUUCACUCUCUUGAUAGUGUCCUUUGAUGCACAGAAGUUUUGAAAUUUGAUAAAGUUUAAUUUGCGU